This 97-nucleotide transfer RNA is filed under the name Erythrobacter ramosus. Its description in RNAcentral is "Erythromicrobium ramosum tRNA-OTHER". The record is from RNAcentral. Lineage: Bacteria; Pseudomonadati; Pseudomonadota; Alphaproteobacteria; Sphingomonadales; Erythrobacteraceae.
AACGGGGCAUCAGAGAAUCGGCUGAGUCCCAGAUUAAGAAAAUCGGACGGGGUUUGUAAUCAGGGGGCCACGGGUUCGAAUCCUGUAGCCGGCACCA